GGAAGUAAAAGUCGUAACAAGGUUUCCGUAGGUGAACCUGCGGAAGGAUCAUUACUGAUUUAGCUAACCGAGCGUUAGCGAGGUUUUGCGAUCACUUAUAUUUAAAACCCACUCUUUGAACGUAUAAAAUUUUAUGUAUUAAUGAUAAAAAUAAAAGAUCACUUUCAACAACGGAUCUCUUGGCUCUCGCAUCGAUGAAGAACGUAGCGAAGUGCGAUAAGUAAUGUGAAUUGCAGUAUUCCGUGAAUCAUCGAAUCUUUGAACGCAUAUUGCACUUUCUGGUAUUCCGGAAAGUAUGCCUGUUUGAGGGUCAGUUAAAUAAAAAUCGGUGUUGUUGCUGCCUUUCGUGGUGACGCGUCGGAAUUGAGUCGUCUUACCUUCGGUUAAGUGACUUAAAAUUUUUUCAUACGAUUUCAACGUAUUUAAUGUAUUAUGUACGUUCACGAAUAUCAAAUGUUUUAUUAGGUGCGGUCAUUUUCAUGAAUUCGCGUCUAUAAUUUUUCAUUAAAUGACCUCAAAUCAGGUAAGAAUACCCGCUGAACUUAAGCAUAUCAAUAAGCGGAGGA
This 566-nucleotide ribosomal RNA is filed under the name uncultured Glomus. RNAcentral's name for it is "eukaryotic LSU rRNA". The stretch from base 160 to 313 matches the Rfam family "5.8S ribosomal RNA". The record is from RNAcentral. Lineage: Eukaryota; Fungi; Glomeromycota; Glomeromycetes; Glomerales; Glomeraceae.